UACGUAGGUGGCAAGCGUUGUCCGGAAUUAUUGGGCGUAAAGCGCGCGCAGGCGGUCCUUUAAGUCUGAUGUGAAAUCCCUCAGCUCAACUGAGGACGUGCAUCCGAAACUGGCAGGCUAGAGUACAGCAGAGGAUAGCGGAAUUCCCGGUGUAGUGGUGAAAUGCGUAGAUAUCGGGAGGAACACCAGUGGCGAAGGCGGGUCUCUGGGCCGUAACUGACGCUGAGGAGCGAAAGCAUGGGGAGCGAACAGG
RNAcentral lists this ribosomal RNA (253 nucleotides) under uncultured bacterium. RNAcentral's name for it is "partial 16S ribosomal RNA". It matches the Rfam family "Bacterial small subunit ribosomal RNA", at positions 524 to 776 of the family's 1533-position model. The record is from RNAcentral.